RNAcentral lists this long non-coding RNA (553 nucleotides) under Fukomys damarensis (Damara mole-rat). RNAcentral describes it as "lncRNA (ENSFDAG00000023213.1)". Lineage: Eukaryota; Metazoa; Chordata; Mammalia; Rodentia; Bathyergidae. The record is from RNAcentral.
CUUGUGCUUGCGAGGUAGGCUGCGCAACCACUGAGCUAAAUCCCCAGCCCCUUAUAUACAUAAUUUAGCAACACAAAAAUAAUCUUACAUGCAUCAACAUAUAUUACAGUAAAAUCAUAAUAGAAGAGAACUAUUAAAAUCACAGUCCUUGCUUCCCAUUAAUUUUGACAAUAUGUGUGGCAACACCAAAAGCCAUCCCAAGGAAUCUCCUCCAUCCCAAAUGCAUUCUUCUCUUCUGGUAAAAGAUCUCAGGGGGCCAGAAGAGUACAGGGUCUGAAAAGAGGCCAAGCACAGAAAAGAACACCAAAUACAAGGUUGCUAGUGUCACCCUUCUGCUCAGUGUCAACAGCUGGUGGCAACUGCAGCUGUGAGGCGAGAAACAAACUAGACCUGCACCGUUUAAAAUGCCCCAGUGGAAAAGACUGAGAUAAAUUGCUUCGAAAAGGUAUGCAAACAAACACAUUUUAAAUUGCCAGAGCUCAAAUUGUGAUAUCUAUUAAAAAUUCAAAUGCAUACACUCUUUGACCUAACAAAUCCACUUUUAGCAAUUUAC